RNAcentral lists this ribosomal RNA (235 nucleotides) under uncultured bacterium. RNAcentral describes it as "partial 16S ribosomal RNA". It matches the Rfam family "Bacterial small subunit ribosomal RNA", at positions 127 to 355 of the family's 1533-position model. The record is from RNAcentral.
UGCCCAAGAGACUGGGAUAACACCUGGAAACAGAUGCUAAUACCGGAUAACAACACUAGACGCAUGUCUAGAGUUUAAAAGAUGGUUCUGCUAUCACUCUUGGAUGGACCUGCGGUGCAUUAGCUAGUUGGUAAGGCAACGGCUUACCAAGGCAAUGAUGCAUAGCCGAGUUGAGAGACUGAUCGGCCACAUUGGGACUGAGACACGGCCCAAACUCCUACGGGAGGCAGCAGCU